UACGAAGGUGGCAAGCGUUACUCGGAAUUACUAGGCGUAAAGGGCAGGUAGGUGGUCUGGUAAGUCUGUUGUGAAAGCUCCCGGCUUAACUGGAAGAGGUCAACAGAAACUACCAGGCUUGAGUGUGGGAGAGGGUUCUGGAAUUCCCGGUGUAGCGGUGAAAUGCGCAGAGAUCGGGAGGAACACCAAUGGCGAAAGCAGGUACCUGGACCAUUACUGACACUCAGCUGCGAAAGCUAGGGGAG
Molecule: ribosomal RNA, 245 nt
Filed under: uncultured bacterium
Lineage: Bacteria
Description: partial 16S ribosomal RNA
Rfam family: Bacterial small subunit ribosomal RNA
Source: RNAcentral